UAAGGGGGGGCAGCCAGGGCUGCAGGGGGGAGCCGUGUCGCUCCUGAGUUUAUGCCACCAAAUCUAAAAUCAGAGAACGCAGGAAGCCGCUUUCCGGACAGUCCCGGGAGCAAACUGACGUUUGGGCCGCCCGAGCGGGGCUCCACGGCGGCCAGCAGAGGCCGGGGGCCGGGGCGCGGGCACAGGACGAACCCGCCCUGGCAGCGGGCUUCAAGUCAGAGGCGGUGACUUCCGCGAACAACUCGGGGAGACCUGGGCGCCCCCGCGGGUCAGCGUGCACUCCCCGUGGGCAGCCCCGCUGUGCGGCCCCCAGGGGCGCCCCCCGAGCUCCGGGGGGGGGCGCACAGCCUCGACGGGGGCCGGGGCGCGUGCUGGGGUGCGCGGUGUGAGGUGUGCAGCGUGGGAUGAGCAGACGGGUGGGAGCCGGCGGCACCAGGGCCACGGGGCGGGACGUGGCACACUUCACGGGCCUCAGCGGGCUACCGUCCUCUCAGAGGAGGCUCCCCGGGGAACGUGCCCGAGGGCGCACGCUGACCGCUUCGGGGCUGCGUGGUAGUCGUCACAGGGUGUCCUGGGAGAGCUUGCGUGGGAAGCGAGCGCAGCAGGGACGACGUGGUUUUCAGCGCGAGGGAGCUGCACACAGGUGGCUGUCGGCACUGGGCCGCCUGGAGCCCGGCAGGCUGUUGUGCAGUGGGGGCGUAGGUUUAGGGGGCGGGUUUAAGCACGAGGCAUCCCGUGUGCAGGCCACUGGGCGCCGGCCCUCACUCAAGCACGCUGCGCUAUCAGCCUGCUUGGGUCCAGACUAAGGAGUAGGCGGUGCUCCCACAGACCAGGAACUCAGCCAAGCCACUUGUCACAUCUGACCUCACCUGCUCAAUCAGCAGCCACCUGGCCUGCAGAAAACUAUUAACCCUUCCUGGAAACAAAGCUCUCACCACUGCCUCAUUAGCCAGUCAUCAGCAGACAACAAGCCACAUGGACGCUGCGGGACGUUUUCUUUUCCGGAGCCAACCAGUGCGUCUGGGCCUCUGGCUCCUCCGGCUGCAGGGUCUCUGAGCAGCACUUCUGCACCAGGCUGUUAUGCUCUGGACGGGAUGGAGCUGGACCCCACCGGGCAGGUACACAUCGCGACAACUCCAACUGAGUAUCAUUAUAUGGAUUCCACCUAUUUACAUAAAUGGCUUUCAGAAACGUGUUCACGUAUCUCUUUUCCAACUGGUCUCAACAGCUUCCCCAAAGCUUUCUUGGGAUCUGGAGGUGAAGGCGGCCUGCAGAGAAGCCAGGGAGCAGGCACGGGGGUGCCUGCAGCUCCGACGCGACGGCUGUUGGUUUUCCCAGGCAAGUCUGUCUUGGAUCAAGGCGUGCUUACUCUUCCAGGGCACAAUCACAUUUGGACCAGACACUACCCCUCUGCACGGUCCCUGCUUGCUACCCUCUCAUUUCAAAGACAGCAGAGGAAGCCGGACUGCUCUGCACAGAUCACAAGGGAGCUCCUGCUAAUGACCGGCCCCAUGUAAGGAUUCACAGCAUUCCAGUCGGAGGCUCACUGGCUGAGGACACAGAUCUCAUCGCUCUUUGGGGACUUUUCUGUAUUAGGAAAAGCUUGGCUUCUGCUGAGCAAUGACUGGCUUUUGGAAGCUGAGAAUUCUGUUAACAACAUUGCUUCUUCCCCUUUCUGCUUUGGUUACCAGAAGCCUUGGUGCCAAACUAGCUCUUGACAGACCUUCUG
Manis javanica (Malayan pangolin) is the source of this 1729-nucleotide non-coding RNA. The record is from RefSeq and is a predicted model, not a curated record. NCBI's taxonomy places the organism in Eukaryota, Metazoa, Chordata, Mammalia, Pholidota, Manidae.